RNAcentral lists this long non-coding RNA (6007 nucleotides) under Gallus gallus (chicken). RNAcentral's name for it is "long non-coding RNA NONGGAT008307". The record is from RNAcentral. Lineage: Eukaryota; Metazoa; Chordata; Aves; Galliformes; Phasianidae.
GCGGGGCGGGCGGGUCCCGGAGCGCCGCGGGGCGCUGAGAGCGGGGCCGGGGGGGGCAGCGCCGCCCCCUGCGGAGGGAGCCGGGACGGGCGGCGGCGGGGCGAGGGCUGCCGGAGCCGCGAGGUUCGCCCGCACCGGCCCGGGAGGGCUGCCCCGAUCGGCGGGGUGCGGCGGUGCCCGAGUCCUGGUUGUGAAGCAGUCCGUGCCGUGCUGGGGAUGAAGGGGAUGGUUUGUUCAGAGCAGGCACAUCCCUGUGGUCAGAAAUGAGCUCUGUUUGGCAGGAAGCACUGAGGAAGGCUGGCAGAGAGGCAGUGUGGCCCUUACAUGCAAGAUUGCUCCAGAAGUGAAGAAGCACUGGUGGAGGCAGUGCAACCCCUGGCGAGAAGCAGCAGAGCUGUGCAGCAAAGGAGGGAGCUGCUUCCAGGAGAUGGAAACAUGCUGCUGAACUGAAUUUUGCAGCUGCAUUUUCAAAUGUACCAUGGGAUGCAUCAAAUCCAAAGAUGCCUUCGCGGGAUCAAAUGCUAUCCGUGUGGAAGGGAGCAGGGAAGGUGACGAAGGGUGCACUGGGGAGAAAUCGUCCCUAAUAGCAGGGAUGGCGGAUGAGAAAGGCCCGUCGAGUGCCAUAGUGCUGGACUACGCACACCGCCUCUCCCAUGAGAUCCUCGAUCAGGCAGUGAAGCAGUGGGCAGUGACAGAGAGCAAAUACAGCGACAUCCCCUUCAUCGAGAGCGACGUACCCUGAGCCUGGCUGGCACGGACUGGCUUCAGUGAGGGUCUGUCUGCCAGCAGCUCAUGUUUGGUGCUGGUGCAAGUUAAGUCAGCUGUGACCAAGUGAAGUGCUGCUCUGAAUGUGUUUGCAAGGAGAGGCUGGAAAACACUGCCUUUUAAUCCAUAUUGCUAGGAAACCCUGUGGAACACAGUAGUACCUAUUAAUCAAGUGUUGUUCAUUAUCGGCUGUAUGAUGAGUGUUGUCUGUCUUUGUAUGUGCUGAGUGAUCAGAAAUCAGUGUUAAGAAAAUGGGAAGAAUGCAACUGCCUUGCAACUGUAGGAGCACUGCUGCAGGGGCCCCAGAGAUGCUGCAGAACAAAGUGUGGAUUGUAUUUAUGUACUGCAUAAAAAAUAUACAGCCUGUUUGUAGGUGACGAGGAUGGUAUGCCUGGCAAAGCCUGUCUGUGUUCUGCAGAAGUGAAAGCGGGACCUCUGUGGAGCAAAGGCAACUGCUGCUGUAACCUUCACCCUGGUUCUCUGACCUGAGCAGGCCUACAAACCACAGAGUGACAAAGGUGGCGAGAAGCAUUUUAUGAAACCAAAUGGUAUUCGGGGAACCAUAUGGGUUAUGGUCCUGUUCAACUGCCACUCUUAACAGAACUGAUGAGAAACAUUGUGAUAUUGAGAAGUGGUGCAUUGUAAUUAAGUUAACAGAUGCCCUGGCUUCUGCAAAGGCAUGGAGGCUAUUCUCUAAAAUCUUGCAGUAAGAGUUUAAUUACAUCUAAUUGUGUUCAGGCCAAAGCUGUUUGCUUUGCUUUUGUUUAUUUUUGUAUUACUUGGUCGGGGGCUGUAUUGAUUUCAUGGCACUGUGGCUGCACUGUGCUGAGCUUUCAAUCCAGCAUCGCAGCCUGUGAACUGUUGGCCUUCACCUUCCUUCUGCUCCCGCGGGCUGAGCACAUCCCCAGGGUAGAGCCGCGUGCACUGCGGCACAGCUGAGCUGUGGGAGCCUCAGGCCUGAGCAGAGCACGGGGCUGUGAGCGAGCCUUGGGCCGCAGGCUAACGGGCUGCUGUGUUCAUCAGCAGUGCUGCGCAGCUCACAGCACCACUCCUCUCCGGGCCUGGGGCCUGACCUGCUGCUCUGCUCUCUGGGAAUGGGAGGAGGAGGCAGAGACUGGUCUCCUACUGCUCUGCUGCCAUCUUAGGCAAAGUGAAUGCCUCCUAGGAAGCUUUUGGUUUUUUAGCACCCAUUUGCUCCUUCUUCUAUUAAGGCUGAUGUGUCAGCCAUGUCGUUUUGUUCCUGCACCCAAGUGCUUUCCAUUCCAUAUUUUCAUUUUGCAGAAAGAAACUGCUUUCCAUGCUGGCCAGCCCUGUUACUAUAUUUAAAAGGUACACGCAGUUCUGGUGACUGACACAAGCGUGGCUCUGAAGCAGUGGUAAGCAGCAGAAAGAGGAGCACUCCCAGUGUUAUUUUCAGCUCACUCUCACACAUGCAUUGAGAGGGAGCACGGCUGUCCUGCAAACUUUCUGACUCAAACUUAAUCACUUGAAAUUCAGCUGUUGGGAAGUGUGUGCAGAGGGAAGGGUCACAAAUACUCUUUGGUAGCUCAGCACACAACUGGCACUGGCCAGGCUGGCCCGGCCACAAGGCUGUCCAUGUGCCAUAGGUGGCAGUGAGUGGAAGGGCCCUCCUGGAGUUCUGCUGUGCUAACAGGCCUAAUGCUAAACGGGUAAUAACAAAGGCUUCUUUACCUAAAUGGAAUUCCAUCUGUCUGCUUACCUUUAGAUGAAACUGUUCCGCAGUUUUAAAAAGCCACUUGUAGUGCAAAGUUGACACCCGUUCUUUGAUUUAGUGUAAUAAAGGCACUCUGGCAGGGGAGUGGUUUGUUCUGAAAUACACACGUCCUUCUGGGUGGGAGUUCAGUGUUGGUGUGCUUUGUGUUUUCUGUGUGGAUCACAACAGGCUCUGAGUGGGUACGGUGUGACUGAGACAUCCUAGGCAUGGUUUGGAGCACACCAACUGCAGCACAACUUUGUACCGCUGCCCUUUCUGCAGUACAGCACACCCAUAUUCUCAAAUAAAACACACUACAAUCUAUUUUUACAAUAUUUUUUGUGCAAAAUAUUUUCUUGUGGACCAAAUAAAAUUAGAAUGACCAUCUGCUUAUGACUUUUAUUUGGAACGAGGCAUGCGUUGGAGAGGGUCUCGUUACAGUGAGCUCCGGAUGAUUCCCUUUCACAUCCUGUUUGGAAGCACACAGAUGUGCACAUCGCUGCUCCCAGGUUCAGCAGCAGCUCAAAUACUGCAGGUCCCUCUCAGGCACAGAAGGGAUGUCCCCUGCACCCCGGGGGUCGCUGUGUUAUUCAGUGGAUCCAGCAGCUGACAGUGGUGGCGUUUGUAUGGGAGCAAUGGAAUGGACCGUUUCUUUUUAAGUAAGUAAAGAACAGUUGUUGUUUAAGAAUCUGGAACAUCUAGGAAGGUCUGUAUUUCUUACGGCCCAGUGCUGCAAACUGAUGGUACUGAGCAGAAGUGUUCUUUCUUUAAUGCCAGUGGUUCCUCUUCCAAAAUCGUGCAUUUGUAACCUGUCUCUAACUGUGGAAACAAGUCAGAGAUGCUGAUGUGCAAUUUGCUUGAGUGUAUAGAAGUGUGCAGCCUUCACACUGAACAAAGAUCUGUAGCUGUGCUUUGCAGACACAAUAGAAGAAUAAAUAUUGCCCCCUUCUACAAUAUGGUAGUGGUAUCAGAGGCCUCUGGUUCUAUUGUAUAACUUUAAAUAUUGUUAGCAACCGAAAUCAGUUUGCAUGUUUAAAUGUUGAUCCCCACAGCUACGCUUGCGAGGAUUUGUUGCGUUAAAGUAGCUCAGGGACUGUGCAGCAGCAGCCGUUCUGUCUGCCGCUGUUCUGUAUCAGUGCAUCCUGCUGCAUUCCUCCUACCUGCCCCAAGUUUCCCACCGAGCACCUGGGGACGGCUCCAGCUCAGGAUGCUGCUGAGCACAAGGAGAAGUGAAGGUAGCUGGCCUGGUGCAGCCGCACUGCAGCCACGUGAGCAUCAGGGCCGCUGCCACUGGCGUCGCUGGGCACUCACUGCCACCAGCAGCCAACAUGCUCCUUGCAGGCAGAGCAGGCUCGAGACUGACUUAUUUGCUACUGGGAGAGCAUGAAAAGCUCCAGUAGCACUUGAAAUCAUGAGAAGCUCAUUAUGCAAUUCAAUCAAUGGCAUUCUUACAAAAUAGAUUUUACAAGCAAAGAGAAAUGUACUUGAGGCUCUGGCACUAUUAUGACAUUUGAAACAAUGUCUGCAUCACGUGGCAAGGCUGUGCACAGACCAAAUGUUAGAUCAAUAAAACAAUUCCUUGCUCUCAGACUAAUAAUCAUAUGUCAGUCUGACCUUUGAUUUAAAAGACUACUUAACACCGUGAAAUCAGCAUGUCUGCCGUUUAGCUUUGUAGCUCUGCUUUAAUGCUUUAAGUAUACCUUCAUUUCAUUGCACAGAGAAGAAUCAGAGGCCCAAUCCCACUCCAACAGCCCAGCAUCCGAGCCACGAACGCUGUGGGCUCCUCACCUCCUGCUCCAUAGCUCAUGCCUGAGCCGCGCUGUCUCCCCGCAAGGUUCCCCCCAAUGUCUGAGGCCUAAAGCUGAAUAUGAAUCAUGGUCUAACAGCAGAUAGAAUAACUAUUUGCCUUGAAGUCAUUUUUCCCCUUAUUAACCACAGAUGUAAUCAUGUUGUCUUUACAGCUGCAUAACAAAAGAGAAUGGUACUGAAUGCAAAAAUAGAGUUACAAGUCAGGCUGGCUGAGAGCCUCGUCAAACUUCAUCGUGCAGUUAUUAGUUUUUAUAUCAUAAAAUGAAGCAGAUGUGUAAGAUGCCAAUAGAUGCGAUCUUUACAACUUGAGAUCGUUGUUUCCCAGAGGCUUAAAACAAUUGUCCACGAAUUCAUCGCUGACUUCUUCCAGAGUAGCAGGCUUCCAGCGGGGCGACUGGUCCUUGUCAAUCAGCACUGCGAGUGGGGAGAAAAACACAGCAGUGAGCACAUUCUCUAACUGAGAUGACUUCUGGCUGCACCCAGAUCUACGGAGAUAUACCAGAGAGAAAAGUCAGUGCAUUCCUUGUGUCACAGCUACAGAAGGCACGGCAGUAAGACUGUGGGCUGCAAAAGAAACUCCCUCUACUGAGCACCGCUCAGAGAACGUCCAGGAAAUAAGUCUCAUUCAAAGGACAAGUUGCAGUAGUUGCUGAGGCUGAGGACAAACCAACAUCACAACUUUUCCUCUUGUAGCUACCAAAGAAAGGAGGAGCUGUGAAUCAGAGCACUGACCCCAUUCUUCUCAAGUACAGGACUGAGGGCUCCUGGGAUGCAAGUAAGCACUGAGUAGAAAUUCAUUACAUAGCCAUAGUAGAAGUUAUGUGGGUAAUUCUUUCAAAGCAGCCUGCUUUUAUUCUAUAACUAAUUUACUUACUGAAAAGUUAUGAUUCUACAAGCUUUUUUACACUUUUUCACACUUCUUCCCUUUUCACAUGUGAUGAUAUGAAGCCAUUGAUUGGUCCAAGUCAAAACCACCCCAAAUCAAUUUAGCUUAUUGCACUGGAAUAGCACUUAUCUCAUUGUUUUCUUCAAUUCACAACCACAGACUGGCAGAAAUUAUCUCAUCUAUCCCCUACAAAAGCCAACGCUGAUUGGAGUUGCUGUACAUUAGAGAGGAAGCGGGGGAAAGUCGGUGUGCACACUGCUACAGCUUCAGCUCUGGAACACCGUCGCUGCUGGUCGUUCUCAGUGGCACGCGGCACUGUGCGCUCAGGCAGAAUGAUCUGUUUGGGUCAGCAGCCAGCCUGACAGGUGGUCACACUGAAUGAUCCUAAUGGUGCCUCCUAUGAAAUGUUUCAUCUUUCUUAAAUUCAAGUACUGAUUAUCUAAUAGUGUUGUGAACACUCUCCUCCAGUGCAAUAACUUCUCUGUAUUUUGCUCUUCUCCAGCUUGAGAUCUCUGCACAAGAAUGGAACAGGAAUUCUGGGGACUUCUGAGGUAGGUAGAGGGAAGCUCAUUAAGAUAGAAGUAACAGACUGCUAUGGUUAUGGACUUGUUCCUGUGGUCCCCAAGGAAAAAAAGAAACAAAGGUAGGAAUGAGUUUGCGCGACUGUGUUCUUCUGCUUAUGUGCACUCAGCAGUCAGAACCCUGAUAGUUCUAAGCACUUGAGAUUCUAUGAGCAGCUCUGAAAUCUGUCUGUCUGCUCCCUCCUAUGGGGGUGAGGCUGGCAGCUGCCAGCACUGCAGGGCAGAAGCAGCACCCCGCUGCUGCAUGCAGUA